This 253-nucleotide ribosomal RNA is filed under the name uncultured bacterium. RNAcentral describes it as "partial 16S ribosomal RNA". It matches the Rfam family "Bacterial small subunit ribosomal RNA", at positions 524 to 776 of the family's 1533-position model. The record is from RNAcentral.
UACGUAGGGUGCAAGCGUUGUUCGGAAUUACUGGGCGUAAAGGGAGCGUAGGCGGAGCCGCAAGUUAGGAGUUCAAUACAUGGGCUUAACCCAUGAUCUGCUUUUAAGACUGCGGUUCUUGAGUAUGGGAGAGGGCAAUGGAAUUCCAGGUGUAGCGGUGGAAUGCGUAGAUAUCUGGAAGAACACCAGUAGCGAAGGCGGUUGCCUGGCCCAAUACUGACGCUGAGGCUCGAAAGCUAGGGGAGCAAACAGG